This 253-nucleotide ribosomal RNA is filed under the name uncultured bacterium. RNAcentral's name for it is "partial 16S ribosomal RNA". It matches the Rfam family "Bacterial small subunit ribosomal RNA", at positions 524 to 776 of the family's 1533-position model. The record is from RNAcentral.
UACAGAGGGUGCGAGCGUUAAUCGGAAUUACUGGGCGUAAAGCGUGCGUAGACGGUUAUUUAAGUCGGGUGUGAAAGCCCCGGGCUCAACCUGGGAAUUGCAUUCGAGACUGAAUAGCUAGGGUACGGUAGAGGGAAGCGGAAUUUCCGGUGUAGCGGUGAAAUGCGUAGAUAUCGGAAGGAACAUCAGUGGCGAAAGCGGCUUCCUGGACCAGUACCGACGUUCAGGCACGAAAGCGUGGGGAGCGAACGGG